CCCUACAGGAGGCUCCAAUCCUACUCAGUAAUAAAGGCUGCAGGGUGUAAGAUAAAAUCAGAUGUCUAAUAAAAAAUGAGAUUCUCAUCACACAUUUCCCACCAUCCAAGUGUGAAUGACAUCACUG
Molecule: long non-coding RNA, 127 nt
Organism: Melanotaenia boesemani (Boeseman's rainbowfish)
Lineage: Eukaryota; Metazoa; Chordata; Actinopteri; Atheriniformes; Melanotaeniidae
Exons: 3
Source: RefSeq, a predicted model, not a curated record